This 1017-nucleotide unclassified non-coding RNA is filed under the name Hevea brasiliensis (rubber tree). Lineage: Eukaryota; Viridiplantae; Streptophyta; Magnoliopsida; Malpighiales; Euphorbiaceae. The record is from RNAcentral.
GUCAUAACCUGCAUAGCACAGGAUCAAAUUAAAUUAUGAAACAAAAUAUGCCCCCAAAGAUUAUUAAGCAAUAAAACCAGACUCAAUAACAGAACAAAAUUGAAAAAUGAAGUCUGGGCAAGUUGCACCCAAUUAUGCGGGGAAUCAGAGAGAAAGGCAAUGAUAACAGCACAAGAUGAGUAUUUAUGGUCUUAUAAAAACAGUUAAUUUUUUAUGUUCAAUUUGAUCAAAUGUGAUAAUGUCCAAUCCUAUACUCUCUAUAGUUAGUCUACUUGAGAAGAAACCUGCUAGCUUCACAGAACCCAUUUUGAUGUGAUAGAAAAUGGGCUGAAGCAUGAAGCAAAGAACAAACUCAUAAUUCUGACUCAUCUCUUCAUAAUGAAAAUUCAAUCACUUAAACAAUAGUGAUACAAUUUCACACAGAUCAAGGGAUUACUUGAUUAUGUAUAUCUUCCUAUAUAGGAUCCUUUAAUUGUAUAUGUACAUGUCAUAGCUUGAGAAAAUAAUGAAGGAAAACUAUUCCAAAAAUUUCUUCUUCUGCUCUGUUUUUUCAUGGUAUCAAUGCAUACAAUUUCUGGGCUUUCUCCUCUGUCAUCCUAGGGUUUGAAUCACUAGUUUCCUGCCUGAGAAACAUUAAUAACAUAACCAUAGGUGUGUGAGUGUUUCUUAGUAUCACAACCACUGCCAUAAGUAGCGUCGGCUGCCAGCAAGUCUACCCUGGAAGUCGCGUCACCUCAACUCUCCCCACACGCUACCACAGAAUCUAGGACACUAUUCACGCGCCUACAUAUGAAGCAUCUCAGAUGACCAGUGUUUCCAAUGGCGCACUUGAGGCGCAAAGCACACGAGGAGUACAGAAUGGAUCCUCGUGCAGUGAAAAGUGCUCAGCCUCCCUCACUAAGGCGCAACAAGGCCCACCUAGGCAUGCCCAGGUGAUGCCAACUGACUAUAUAAGAAAAAGUAGGGUUUUUUCCUGUCUUAAACCCAGCCUCCAGCCAUAAAAGGAAAGGAAAAAAG